GAUGAACGCUGGCGGCGUGCCUAAUACAUGCAAGUCGAGCGAACGGACGAGAAGCUUGCUUCUCUGAUGUUAGCGGCGGACGGGUGAGUAACACGUGGAUAACCUACCUAUAAUACUGGGAUAACUUCGGGAAACCGGAGCUAAUACCGGAUAAUAUUUUGAACCGCAUGGUUCAAAAGUGAAAGACGGUCUUUCUGUCACUUAUAGAUGGAUCCGCGCUGCAUUAGCUAGUUGGUAAGGUAACGGCUUGCCAAGGCAACGAUGCAUAGACGACCUGAGAGGGUGAUAGCCCACACUGGAACUGAGACACGGUCCAGACUCCUGCGGGAGGCAGCAGUAGGGAAUCUUACGCAGUGGGCGAAAGCAUGACGGAACGACGCGGCGUGAGAGAUGGCGGUCUUCCGAUCGUAAAACUCUGUUAUUAGGGAAGAACAUAUGUGUAAGUAACUGUGCACAGCUUGACGGUACCUAAUAAGAAAGCCACGGCUAACUACGUG
This 497-nucleotide ribosomal RNA is filed under the name uncultured bacterium. RNAcentral's name for it is "partial 16S ribosomal RNA". It matches the Rfam family "Bacterial small subunit ribosomal RNA", at positions 28 to 507 of the family's 1533-position model. The record is from RNAcentral.